This 1004-nucleotide long non-coding RNA is filed under the name Homo sapiens (human). Its description in RNAcentral is "HSALNT0143379". The record is from RNAcentral. Lineage: Eukaryota; Metazoa; Chordata; Mammalia; Primates; Hominidae.
CCGAGUAGCUGGGACUACAGGCGCCCGCGACUACGCCCGGCUAAUUUUUUGUAUUUUUAGUAGAGACGGGGUUUCACCGUGUUAGCCAGGAUGGUCUUCGUCUCCUGACCUCGUGAUCCGCCCGCCUCGGUCCCCUAAAGUGCUGGGAUUACAGGCAUACACUCUUAAGUAACCUGGUGGGGACCCAUCAAACUACAAAGGGUUAUAGCUACUCUUACAGAAGACAUAAGAAGAUAUAUACGCAGAGAAGACAUCAUAAGACCUGAAGAUGAAAAACUUCUGAUCACAGAAGAAAGAUAUACAACAGCCUUGAAGCAUUCUGAGAACCCAGUGAAGGCAAUAAUGUCUCUUCCCAGAGAAAUUCACAGAAUUAUGCAAACUUGGCUCAAUUGUCUUCUGGCAUAAUUGGUGCUACAGAGAACAUUGAGAAUCACCUUCCAUUUAGAUCUGGGCUACAUUUUGCCAAGGAGAGGAACAUCUGUGGAGUCUGGAAAGUGGAAGUAAAUCGGAAGCUUUAUUCUCUGGAGGUGGUGGCUGCCAGAUGAACAUGCACAUGUAGCCCCUAGAAGCUUGGAACUGCCCUCAGACUACAGCCAGGAAGCAGACAGGGACUUCAGUUCCACAGCCACAAGGAGCUGAAUUCUGCCAACCAGAAUGAGCAAGAACAUGGAUUCUCCCCUCAAGCCUCCAGAAAAGAAUGCAGCCUACAGUCAGCACUUUAAGUCCCAUGCAACCUAUAAUAGAUUUCUGACCUACAGAGCUUUAAUGUCAUAAAUUGGUGUUGUUUUAAGUCAUGAAGUUUGUGGUAGCUUCUUAUGACAGUAAUUGAAAACUAAUACCUGGUCUUUUUAGCAGAAUAACGAGCACCCUGUAAUGUGUCAUUCAUGCAUAUCUUUUUUUUUUUUUUUUUUUUGGUGGGGGCAGGAAGACAAAACUCUAGAGUUUAAUCUUCCAGCUGACUGACUUGGAAGUGUUCCUGUCAAUAUAAAAGAUCUUGUUGGGGG